Molecule: transfer RNA, 71 nt
Filed under: Fasciola hepatica (liver fluke)
Lineage: Eukaryota; Metazoa; Platyhelminthes; Trematoda; Plagiorchiida; Fasciolidae
Description: tRNA-Gly
Rfam family: tRNA
About the family: Transfer RNA (tRNA) molecules are approximately 80 nucleotides in length.
Source: RNAcentral
ACGCCGAUGGUUCAGUUGUGGAAUGUUCGCCUGCCUCACGGGCUGUCCACGUUCAAUUCCUGGUCGGCGUA